This 607-nucleotide long non-coding RNA is filed under the name Homo sapiens (human). RNAcentral describes it as "HSALNT0301442". Lineage: Eukaryota; Metazoa; Chordata; Mammalia; Primates; Hominidae. The record is from RNAcentral.
CGGCUGGAGCCGAGCUUCCUGAUACCUAGUGAGCCGCGGUGAUGACAAAUGAAAACAAUAAGCUGUUUCCUAGACAAACAGCUGCCUAGACAGUUUCGCUCUGUCGCCCAGGCUGGAGUGCAGUGGCACAAUCUCGGUUCACUGCAACCUCUGCCUCCCGGGUUCAAGCAGUUCUCUUGCCUCAGCCUCCCAAGUAACUGGUACUACAGUUUGUCCUCGGCUGUUACAGAGAAUUGAUACAAAAAAUGAUCAUGUGAAGAAUUUGCAUCUUCUGCAGAACUACCGGUAUCAGUCAGCAGUAGGAGAUUGCCAGACACGGUGGCUCACGCCUAUAAUCCUAGCACUUUGGGAGGCUGAGGUGUGUGGAUCACUUGAGCCCAGGAGUUCAAGACCAGCCUGAGCAACAUGGUGAAACCCCAUCUCUGCAAAAAAUACAAAAAUUAGCCAGGCGUGGUGGUGUGUACCUGUGGUCCCAGCUGCUGGGAAGGCUGAGGUGGGAGGAACAUUUGAGCCCAGAAGUUGAGCCGUGAUCACGCCACUGCACUCCAGCCUGGAUGACACAGCAAGACCUUGUCUCAAAAAAUAAAAUAAAAUAAAUUUUAAAAAA